RNAcentral lists this ribosomal RNA (418 nucleotides) under Burkholderia gladioli. RNAcentral describes it as "bacterial SSU rRNA". It matches the Rfam family "Bacterial small subunit ribosomal RNA", at positions 62 to 469 of the family's 1533-position model. The record is from RNAcentral. Lineage: Bacteria; Pseudomonadati; Pseudomonadota; Betaproteobacteria; Burkholderiales; Burkholderiaceae.
UCGCAACGGNAGCACGNGUUGCUUGCUCCUGGAUGGCGAGUUGGCGAACGGGUGAGUAAUACAUCGCGAACAUGUCCUGUAGUGGGGGAUAGCCCGNCNAAAGCNGGAUUAAUACCGCAUACGAUCNACGGAUGAAAGCGGGGGACCUUCGGGCCUCGCGCUAUAGGGUUGGCCGAUGGCUGAUUAGCUAGUUGGUGGGGUAAAGGCCCACCAAGGNGACGAUCAGUAGCUGGUCUGAGAGGACGACCAGCCUAACUGGGACUGAGACACGGCCCAGACUCCUACGGGAGGCAGCAGUGGGGAAUUUUGGACAAUGGGCGAAAGCCUGAUCCAGCAAUGCCGCGUNUGUGAAGAAGGCCUUCGGGUUGUAAAGCACUUUUGUCCGGAAAGAAAUCCUGAGGGCUAAUAUCCUUCGGGG